RNAcentral lists this ribosomal RNA (1220 nucleotides) under human gut metagenome. RNAcentral describes it as "bacterial LSU rRNA". It matches the Rfam family "Bacterial large subunit ribosomal RNA", at positions 788 to 1990 of the family's 2925-position model. The record is from RNAcentral.
GUUGAAAAAUUAGCGGAUGACUUGUGGCUGGGGGUGAAAGGCCAAUCAAACCGGGAGAUAGCUGGUUCUCCCCGAAAGCUAUUUAGGUAGCGCCUCGUGAACUCAUCUUCGGGGGUAGAGCACUGUUUCGGCUAGGGGGUCAUCCCGACUUACCAACCCGAUGCAAACUACGAAUACCGAAGAAUGUUAUCACGGGAGACACACGGCGGGUGCUAACGUCCGUCGUGAAGAGGGAAACAACCCAGACCGCCAGCUAAGGUCCCAAAGUCAUGGUUAAGUGGGAAACGAUGUGGGAAGGCACAGACAGCCAGGAUGUUGGCUUAGAAGCAGCCAUCAUUUAAAGAAAGCGUAAUAGCUCACUGGUCGAGUCGGCCUGCGCGGAAGAUGUAACGGGGCUAAACCAUGCACCGAAGCUGCGGCAGCGACACUAUGUGUUGUUGGGUAGGGGAGCGUUCUGUAAGCCUGCGAAGGUGUGCUGUGAGGCAUGCUGGAGGUAUCAGAAGUGCGAAUGCUGACAUAAGUAACGAUAAAGCGGGUGAAAAGCCCGCUCGCCGGAAGACCAAGGGUUCCUGUCCAACGUUAAUCGGGGCAGGGUGAGUCGACCCCUAAGGCGAGGCCGAAAGGCGUAGUCGAUGGGAAACAGGUUAAUAUUCCUGUACUUGGUGUUACUGCGAAGGGGGGACGGAGAAGGCUAUGUUAGCCGGGCGACGGUUGUCCCGGUUUAAGCAUGUAGGCUGGUUGUCCAGGCAAAUCCGGAUAAUCAAGGCUGAGGUGUGAUGACGAGGCACUACGGUGCUGAAGUAACAAAUGCCCUGCUUCCAGGAAAAGCCUCUAAGCAUCAGGUAACAUCAAAUCGUACCCCAAACCGACACAGGUGGUCAGGUAGAGAAUACCAAGGCGCUUGAGAGAACUCGGGUGAAGGAACUAGGCAAAAUGGUGCCGUAACUUCGGGAGAAGGCACGCUGGUGUGUAGGUGAAGUCCCUGCGGAUGGAGCUGAGACCAGUCGAAGAUACCAGCUGGCUGCAACUGUUUAUUAAAAACACAGCACUGUGCAAACACGAAAGUGGACGUAUACGGUGUGACGCCUGCCCGGUGCCGGAAGGUUAAUUGAUGGGGUUAUCCGUAAGGAGAAGCUCUUGAUCGAAGCCCCGGUAAACGGCGGCCGUAACUAUAACGGUCCUAAGGUAGCGAAAUUCCUUGUCGGGUAAGUUCCGACCUG